CAAAUGUCCGACAUUUACAAAAUAGCUCGGUGAUUCUCAAACCCAAAUCCAAGAAAUGAGAAUCUGUUGAUGGUUGACGCCACGAAACAGGCAAAUCGCCGGUUACUAGAAAAAGCUUUUGGGCAUAGGAGUCCAGGAAGACAGGAAGCCACCCACUAGUUACGUUUACUGUGAUACUGUGACCUUCCUUCAAAGGGUCCCACAUCGUGGAGAAUGUAAACUUUCCUCACUCCAUGGUAACUUUGG
RNAcentral lists this unclassified non-coding RNA (246 nucleotides) under Hevea brasiliensis (rubber tree). Lineage: Eukaryota; Viridiplantae; Streptophyta; Magnoliopsida; Malpighiales; Euphorbiaceae. The record is from RNAcentral.